AUUGAACGCUGGCGGAAUGCUUUACACAUGCAAGUCGAGCGGCAGCGCGGGGGCAACCCUGGCGGCGAGCGGCGAACGGGUGAGUAACAUAUCGGAACGUACCCAGUCGUGGGGGAUAACUAUCCGAAAGGAUAGCUAAUACCGCAUACGUCCUGAGGGAGAAAGCGGGGGAUCGCAAGACCUCGCGCGAUUGGAGCGGCCGAUAUCGGAUUAGCUAGUUGGUGGGGUAAAGGCUCACCAAGGCGACGAUCCGUAGCGGGUCUGAGAGGACGACCCGCCACACUGGAACUGAGACACGGUCCAGACUCCUACGGGAGGCAGCAGUGGGGAAUUUUUGGACAAUGGGGGCAACCCUGAUCCAGCCAUUCCGCGUGAGUGAAGAAGGCCUCGGUUGG
Molecule: ribosomal RNA, 395 nt
Filed under: uncultured bacterium
Lineage: Bacteria
Description: bacterial SSU rRNA
Rfam family: Bacterial small subunit ribosomal RNA
Source: RNAcentral